Molecule: ribosomal RNA, 800 nt
Filed under: uncultured Glomeromycotina
Lineage: Eukaryota; Fungi; Glomeromycota
Description: SSU rRNA
Rfam family: Eukaryotic small subunit ribosomal RNA
Source: RNAcentral
AUCAACUUUCGAUGGUAGGAUAGAGGCCUACCAUGGUGGUAACGGGUAACGGGGUGUUAGGGCACGACACCGGAGAGGGAGCCUGAGAAACGGCUACCACAUCCAAGGAUGGCAGCAGGCGCGCAAAUUACCCAAUCCCGACACGGGGAGGUAGUGACAAUAAAUAACAAUACGGGGUUCUAAAGGAUUUCGUAAUUGGAAUGAGUACAAUUUAAAUCUCUUAACGAUCAACAAUUGGAGGGCAAGUCUGGUGCCAGCAGCCGCGGUAAUUCCAGCUCCAAUAGCGUAUAUUAAAGUUGUUGCAGUUAAAAAGCUCGUAGUUGAAUUUCGGGGUUAGUAGGUUGGUCAUGCCUCUGGUAUGUACUGAUCUCACUGAUUCCUCCCUCUUGACGAACUGUAAUGUCAUUAAUUUGGUGUUCCAGGAAAUCAGGACUGUUACUUUGAAAAAAUUAGAGUGUUUAAAGCAGGCUUUAGGCUUGAAUACAUUAGCAUGGAAUAAUGAAAUAGGACGUUUGAACCUAUUUUGUUGGUUUCUAGGAUCGACGUAAUGAUUAAUAGGGAUAGUUGGGGGCAUUAGUAUUCAAUUGUCAGAGGUGAAAUUCUUGGAUUUAUUGAAGACUAACUACUGCGAAAGCAUUUGCCAAGGAUGUUUUCAUUAAUCAAGAACGAAAGUUAGGGGAUCGAAGACGAUCAGAUACCGUCGUAGUCUUAACCAUAAACUAUGCCGACUAGGGAUCGGAUGAUGUUAAUUUUUUAAUGACUCAUUCGGCGCCUUACGGGAAACCAAAGUGUUUGGGUUC